UGGUGGUUGGGGGGAGGGGGAAGGGAGGGAGAGGAGAGGAGAGGAAAUGUCGAGCGUUGUUUACAUGGAAAAGGCUUCGAGCCGCUGACCGGCAGCCGCCAUGACACCGCCAGCAGCCCCGUGACGUCAGCGCCGGCAGUCACGCAUGCGCCUCCCCAGCCUCACCCUGCAAGAUGCCUGAAUUCUCAUUGCUACACAAAAAAGUGUUGUGUGGAAACAAAAAAAGAUGCGUUCAGUCGAAUUGCAUAAGACACCAUGCAGUCUAAGUGCACUGCUCCGCAGCUUCGAUAGAAAGCCUCUGCAAACUCCAGGAAUAAACAGCAAAGACAAUCUGUUUGCAGAUAAAUUAAGUUUUUCAGUAACAUGUGCAAAAUAAUGUGCUUUUCUUCAGCGUGCUAUGAAUGACCAUUGCUAGUGUUGCUCAAGACAACAGCGUCCCUUAAUGCAAAAAGGAAAACAAAGGAUCAUUAUCUGGCAGGAAAUUGUGACUGGUGGUUGUAAGCAUGCGCUCUGGGCACCCUGGUUACUUUCUUAAAGGAGUAUUAACAAUUAACUGUCGCCAACCUUCAAAAAGUCAUGGUUCACUGGUAACAAAAACAGAAUUACCUGGAAAAACUCAGCAGGUCUGGCAGCAUCGGCGGAGAAGAAAAGAGUUGACGUUUCGAGUCCAUGGUUCACUGGUAGCAGUUUGGCCUCUUGAAUCCAAAGGUAACCAUGGUAACGAUGAGCUUCACUGCCUUCCCUGUCCAACACCUCCCCCAGGGAUUAGGAGCCAAUCCUGGUACCCUAACUGCAACCUGGCUGCAAUCUACUCAUUCAGCACAGAUAAACGUUUGGAGCUGGGAUAUUUUGGUCAAAUUGGCUUGGUGCCACAUCAAACAAGCAUUUACACGUGAAGCCAUCAACAAAACCUGAUACUGCCAGACCUGCUUUUUUCUGGUUUUAUUUCAGCUAUCCAGCAUCUGUAGUAUUUUGCUUUUCUUUUUUGAUAUAGUUGUUUAAUUUUGUAGAUUAGAUGCAAGUCUAAUUCAUCCAAAGUUCAGAAAACCAGUUGU
This is a long non-coding RNA of Carcharodon carcharias (great white shark), 1055 nucleotides long. RefSeq lists it as uncharacterized. NCBI's taxonomy places the organism in Eukaryota, Metazoa, Chordata, Chondrichthyes, Lamniformes, Lamnidae. The transcript has 3 exons. The record is from RefSeq and is a predicted model, not a curated record.